RNAcentral lists this ribosomal RNA (253 nucleotides) under uncultured bacterium. Its description in RNAcentral is "partial 16S ribosomal RNA". It matches the Rfam family "Bacterial small subunit ribosomal RNA", at positions 524 to 776 of the family's 1533-position model. The record is from RNAcentral.
UACGAAGGGGGCUAGCGUUGUUCGGAUUUACUGGGCGUAAAGCGCACGUAGGCGGCUUUCUAAGUCGGGGGUGAAAUCCUGGAGCUCAACUCCAGAACUGCCUUCGAUACUGGAAAGCUCGAGUCCGGGAGAGGUGAGUGGAACUGCGAGUGUAGAGGUGAAAUUCGUAGAUAUUCGCAAGAACACCAGUGGCGAAGGCGGCUCACUGGCCCGGUACUGACGCUGAGGUGCGAAAGCGUGGGGAGCAAACAGG